This is a long non-coding RNA of Ictidomys tridecemlineatus (thirteen-lined ground squirrel), 2232 nucleotides long. RefSeq lists it as uncharacterized. The record is from RefSeq and is a predicted model, not a curated record. Lineage: Eukaryota; Metazoa; Chordata; Mammalia; Rodentia; Sciuridae.
AAAAAGGCUUGGGAUUUUAAUAGGGAUUGCACUAAAUCUGUACAUUGCUUUACUUGGUAUAUGGAAUAGAUUAAAUAUUGUGUCCCCUUAAAAUUCAUAUGUUGAAACCUAAUCCCCAAUAUGAUGAGGUUCUUUGGAGGUGGGGCAUUUGUGAUGUGAUUAGGUCAUGAGGAUGGAGUCCUCAAAAGUAGGAUUAAUGACCUAUGGAAGAAAACCCACAGAGUUUCUUUACCCUAACAUCAGGUAAGAAAAUUACCUUCUGUGAGCCAAAAAACAGGCCCUUAUAAGCUACCACAUCUGCUGGGCCUUAGUCUUGUGAUUCCCAGCCUCCAAAACUGUGAGAAAUAAGUUUAUAUUGUUUAUAAGCUACUAGGUCUGCUUUAGCAUCUCAAAUGAACAAGAACAAUAAAUAUGAAUGGACUUGUUUCUGGGUUUUCUAUGCCAUUCCAUUGGUCUGUAUGUUUGUUUUUACAGUUUUGAUUCCUGUAGCUUUUCAAUGUGUUUUGAAACAUAGUAAAGGCCAUAUAAGAGAAGCCCAUAGCUAACAUGAUAAUGGUGAGAAAACUUGUAUAUGCCUUUACUAUGCUGAGGCACUUUUCUUAUAUUUAUUAUAUUUCUUAUAUUCCAAGUUUGUUCCCUGUAUAUAAAGUUUUUAUCAUGAAAGGCUGUUGCAUUUUAUUAAGUGCUUUUUCUGCUUCUAUUGAGAUGAUCAGGUGAUUUUUGCAUCCUUUAUUGUGUUAAUGUGGUGUUAAACAUUAAUUGAUUUUCAUAUCCUGAAAUAGCUUUACAACCAAUGGAUAAAUCCCACUUGGUCAUGUGCAUGGUUCUUUUAAUGUGCUACUGAAUUCACCUAGCUAGCUUGUCAUUGAGAGUUUUUGCUUUUGUAUUCAUCAGAGCUAGGCUGUUCUGUGGUGUCUAUGUUUGGCUUUUGUAUUAGGAUAAAUGUUGACCACAUAAUAUGAGUUUGAGAAGAAUUGGCAUUAAUUCUUUAAACAAUGGGAGAGUUUGCCAGUGAUGCCAUGCAAUCUGCAGCUUUUCUUUGUUUGGAGGUUUCUGAUUCAAUUGGUAUUUAAGCUCUUUUCAUUUUUGUUAAUGUAGAAGUUUAUCACAGUUUAUUCAAUCUCCAUAUGAGUUAUAGGUCUAUUCAGAUUUUCUGUUUCUUAAUGGUCAGUCUUGGAGCCUUUUUCUAGAAUUUAUCCACUUUUCCAAGGUAAGAAACUUGCUGGUGUAUAAUUAUUCAUAGCCUGACAGAGGUCCACUUCACAUUUUGAACACAGCCCUUUCUGCUUAUUUUUAAAGGGACAUGUUUUUCUUUUUCUCUUUUCCCUCUCCCCAUCUUUAACCUUGGAGGCAGGGAACAAGAUUUCCUCGAGUUAUCUGUUCUCCACAGUAAGGGGAUAUCACCAGAAGGAACAGGAAGUAACUAUCUCCCAAAAUGAACAAGUGAAUUUCAACACACCAACAGGGCACUCCUGGGACCCUGUGUCAGGGCACACCUGGAAUGUAGCCUUUGAAAAGCUUCCUUAAAAAUUCUCUGUUUUUCUGUAUAGGCAGAAUUAUAGCCUCUGGGACAGGUGUCCCCUGUGUUUCUCCUUUGCUAGCAAAACAAUAAAACUUCUGUUUCCCAAAACUGUGUCCUUGUUUUUAGAUUGGCAUUGGGAACAAGGAUGGAGAUGUUGGUAACAAAAUUGGCACCCUAGAUGGGACCUGAAAGCAGCCUUUGAUCCAGCUUUCUUGGGCAGAUCUCACUCAACCCCACUACUAUUAUGAGGAUGUAAGGCAGACUUUUUGAGAGCUGACUGCUGGAAAGGUGGCAUCACUGGCAGAGAAAAGCUAAAGGAGCCAAAAGCCUUUGCACAUGUCUUCAAGAGUGGUCUCUGAGGAAUCUCAGCUGAAGAGUACAUAGGAACAAGGUCGGGUUGCCUCAGGAAGAGUCUGGGAGAUCAAAUCUUGAAUACAAUCAACUUACAUAUUUUAAAAGAACCUGCCUCAAAAGAGAAAAUGCGCUCAAGCUAUGAAAAAAGAUUAUAUUUUUUAAAAAAGCAUAGACAUAAAAUUUACUGGUAGUAAAAGAUAAAGCCAAGAAACAAGCUAUUCUCUUAUUACCCAGUUCUAUCUGCUCCUGUAUUUUAUAUAACAUUUUGGUAAAAGUGGGAGUUGGUUCCUUUUUCCCAACCUGAAAAUUCUAUCUUACAAUAAAGGAUCUAUUUAUGCUUGUGUUUACAAACUGUA